AGCUUUGCACAGUGGCAGUAUCAUAACCAAUGUAGUUUAUCUGAGGCGGGAAGAUUACUAAUUGAAAACUUUUUCCAAUACCCUGCUAUGAUGACUUGAAAUACAGUAUGCAUUGGCAAUUUAAAAAUUUUUUGAAUGAAA
Molecule: small nuclear RNA, 141 nt
Organism: Molossus molossus (Pallas's mastiff bat)
Lineage: Eukaryota; Metazoa; Chordata; Mammalia; Chiroptera; Molossidae
Product: U4 spliceosomal RNA
Exons: 1
Source: RefSeq, a predicted model, not a curated record